This is a long non-coding RNA of Sorghum bicolor (sorghum), 728 nucleotides long. RefSeq lists it as uncharacterized. The transcript has 3 exons. The record is from RefSeq and is a predicted model, not a curated record. Lineage: Eukaryota; Viridiplantae; Streptophyta; Magnoliopsida; Poales; Poaceae.
CCGCAGCGAGCCCGGUGGCCGCGCCCCGCCCGCCGGUGCCCGCGUCUCGUGCCGCGAGACCUCGCGGACGCCCCUGGCCGCGAGCCGCACAUGGACAGGCCUCUGGUUCCCAGAUCAUCUUCUCAGACAUAUUGCAGUGGGAUCUGUUAACAAGGAAUGAUAGAUUCGCAGGGUAGUUUGGGUUUGCAAAGUGUUUGUUGCUCAAGAUCAAAGCUCCAGAGCCCGUACAUCAAUAGCUUGGUAUUCACAAAUUUGCAAAGUACCUAUUCGCGUUAGCAGCGAGCCCGCUGCCCGAGCGGCAGCGCCGGUGCCCGCUCCUCUCGAUCUCCGGUGGCCCAGCGACCGGCCACGCCGAUCUCCGGUGGCCGAGCGCCCGCGCCGCGCCCGCGCCGAUCUACGGUGGAGGUUCGCCACAAGCCUCUACUUCUCCCUGUUCUUGUAUGUCUAGAUCAUCUGCCUCGCCACUUGUAAGCAGCUUCUCUCUGUUUUUUUUUCUGCGCCCAUAAUAUUCAGAUAGCUGCAAUUUUUUUGUAUGUACCAAAUGGAACCUGUAAUUAGCUUUCAUCUUAAAACUUGGAAGCAUUUUGAUGAAUGCAGAGGUUCCAGUGUCAACAAACAGGCUUUUGUGCAAUUCAGCUGUAUCUUAAAACAGAAGCAUUUUUAAUGUACUCUGUUUAUAGAGCUUAGAUGGCAUGUUUGCUCAAUGUGAAUGCCAUUUAGGACAUUGA